RNAcentral lists this ribosomal RNA (491 nucleotides) under uncultured bacterium. RNAcentral's name for it is "bacterial SSU rRNA". It matches the Rfam family "Bacterial small subunit ribosomal RNA", at positions 30 to 518 of the family's 1533-position model. The record is from RNAcentral.
UGAACGCUGGCGGCGUGCCUAAUACAUGCAAGUCGAACGAGGUAGCAAUACCGAGUGGCGAACGGGUGAGUAACACGUAGGUAACCUGCCCUUAAGCUUGGGAUACCCAGAGGAAACUUUGGCUAAUACCGGAUAACAACAGAGAAGGCAUCUCUUGCUUGAAAGGCCCUUCAAGGGUCACUUAAGGAUGGACCUGCGGCGCAUUAGCUAGUUGGUGAGAUAACAGCCCACCAAGGCGAGGAUGCGUAGCCGAACUGAGAGGUUGAUCGGCCACAUUGGAACUGAGACACGGUCCAAACUCCUACGGGAGGCAGCAGUAAGGAGUUUUCGGCAAUGGGGGAAACCCUGACCGAGCAACGCCGCGUGAGCGAUGACGGUCCUUUGGGAAUUGUAAAGCUCUGUUGUAAGCCAUGAAUGACAGCUUGAGGAAAUGCAAGUUGUUUGACGACAGCUUACCAGAAAGCCACGGCUAACUACGUGCCAGCCGCUGC